This 506-nucleotide ribosomal RNA is filed under the name Starmerella bacillaris. RNAcentral describes it as "partial large subunit ribosomal RNA". It matches the Rfam family "Eukaryotic large subunit ribosomal RNA", at positions 49 to 658 of the family's 3401-position model. The record is from RNAcentral. Lineage: Eukaryota; Fungi; Ascomycota; Dipodascomycetes; Dipodascales; Trichomonascaceae.
AGCGGAGGAAAAGAAACCAACAGGGAUUGCCCUAGUAACGGCGAGUGAACAGGCAAGAGCUCAGAUUUGAAAGGCACUUUUGUGCCGUUGUAUUCUGAAGUUAGGGUCCUGAGAAACGAUGCUUAAGUCUUCUGGAAAGGAGCGCCAUGGAGGGUGAUAGCCCCGUCUAGCAUUGACCUCAUAUAGGAUCUUAACAUGGAGUCGAGUUGUUUGGGAAUGCAGCUCAAAUGGGUGGUAUGCUCCAUCUAAAGCUAAAUAUCUGCGAGAGACCGAUAGUAAACAAGUACUGUGAGGGAAAGAUGAAAAGAACUUUGAAAAGAGAGUGAAAAAGUACGUGAAAUUGUUGAAAUGGAAGGGUAGGCCGCUAACCAUGUAGAGCCGUGUUUGGGGGGAAGAUAAAUGCUGUAGAAUGUAGCUCCUCGGAGUAUUAUAGAUGCAGUUCAUAUUCCCACCCGAGCGCGAGGAUCUCAGGUUCUACUAAAUGGUGGUCUACCACCCGUCUUGAA